This is a long non-coding RNA of Bombyx mori (domestic silkworm), 2781 nucleotides long. RefSeq lists it as uncharacterized. The transcript has 2 exons. The record is from RefSeq and is a predicted model, not a curated record. Lineage: Eukaryota; Metazoa; Arthropoda; Insecta; Lepidoptera; Bombycidae.
AAACGUUGACACACAGUGGUAGUACAACAGGCUAGGAACUAACGACUUCCAACUGUAUUUGUGUGUUAUUGCAAAACAUUAAUUUAAAAAAAACGGCCAGUCGUUGCAGGAAGUUCCAUGAGUCACCCAGCGCCGCCCCCCGCCGCCCCCCGCCGCCCCGCCGCCCCGCCGCCCCGCGACCCCUUCAUUGUGCUGAUAUAUUCUACUGUUCGAUAGAUAGAAUCGAGUGAUAGAAUCAGUUAUCACUGUAAGUAAGUAGUUAAGAUGUUAGAAGUAGCGAAGGCUUGUAUCGCCGCGACUACGCGACUGCCGGAUGAGAUAAAUGUUUUACUUUCGCAGAGCUCCGUGUGCUCGUGAGCCCCUCCAGGGAGAAAAAACAAAGCUGUGAUAAUAAAUGUAUUAUAAAUAUGUGUAAUUGCGAAGGUGGAGGCGCGUUUCCGCCUGGAAGGGUCUAGGAGCAAAAGUCCAAGUGAGACUUGGAUCUCACCGGGGAACGUGGUAUUGGAGUUGUGAGGGCUCCAGAAACCUCUGAACAACGUGUGUGUUAAACAAAAAAAUGUAGUAGUUUAAAAUUAAAUAUAAAAAUUACAAAAUACAACACAAUUACACAACUACCAAAUGUUGUUUAUUUAUGAACUACUUAUUCAUUCAUUUCGGCCCUUUGAUACCCACAGCUGGGCAUAGGCUCCACGUUUUUGACAUAAUGUUUUUAUUAUUUUUAUUGUUAUUGUCAAUCAAUUUUAUUGUUAUUGUAUCAAUAAUUAAAUUAAUUAGAUUGUACUCAUCUACCCACUCAUGUAAAGCUUUCCUUCUUUAAGAACGGUUAGCUGGUAGAUAACUCAAUUGUUGAGUUAAGCUCGCCAUUUUUUAUAUCUUAUCACAAUUACUGUAUUAUAUUAACUGUGUGUACAAAUAAAGAAUAAAGAAUGUUCCAUCUCCCGCAACUCUCAUCCCCGUAUGACCGGCCGUCCUGCCUAUGUCACCGGGCCACCUUGCCGGAAGUCUUCCGGCACCUCUACGACCUAAUCUGGACCACCACUCUGACACUGUCCUAUUUAUUGCAUCUAUCAUCUAUUCGGCUUGCUAAGUGUCCAGCCCAACUUCAUUUCUGAACUGCAUGUAAUCUGGGUAUUUAUUUUCUGGAAAUAUUUAUUUGUCUAAUUGUAUUUUAUUAAAGACCUUAAAAAAAACUAUUUGAGGCCUCGGGAGACCAGAAGGCCGGUACGUAUUUUGCACAAAGAAUUAGCAUUGCUAUCCAACUUGGAAAUGCUGCCGGCCUUCUGGGAACGCUGCCAACUGACGGUGAGCUAACCCAGAUUUUUUAUUUAUAAGUAGCUUUACCUAAAUAAUAAUUAUUUUUAUUCAUUUAUUAGAUCUGUUCUGUCUUCUUCAGAAUCUUCUGUAUUCUGUACCGUAUGUUCCAUGGGGAGUGCUCUGAGGAAUUGUUCGAGAUGAUACCGGCAUCUCGUUUUUACCAUCGCACCGCCCGCCACCGGAGUAGAGUUCAUCCAUACUACCUGGAGCCACUGCGGUCAUCCACAGUGCGUUUCCAGAGAUCUUUUUUGCCACGUACCAUCCGGCUAUGGAAUGAGCUCCCCUCCACGGUGUUUCCCGAGCGCUAUGAUAUGUCCUUCUUCAAACGAGGCUUGUGGAGAGUAUUAAGCGGUAGGCAGCGGUUUGGCUCUGCCCCUGGCAUUGCUGAAGUCCUUGAGCGACGGUAACCACUCACCAUCAGGUGGGCCGUAUGCUCGUCAGCCUACAAGGGCAAUAAAAAAAAAAAAGAUAUAUUUUGUCUAAGCUAUUCAACUUAUCAGAGUGUAUAUUUGGAAACAAAUAAGUCAUCAUAAUAAUAUGAUCGUCGUGCAAAUGGACUCAAAACGAAAACAAUGAACACACACACACAGAGGACGAAUGAAACUCGGGGAAUUACCCGCCGCAUGUCGCUCUCCCCCACUGACCGAGCGCGCCAUACCGCCACACGUGCGUGCCCCACAUCUCAGUCUGUAUUGAGACUUCAUUUACGUAGAUAAUUAAUUACCUAUCAAGAUAAAAUAAGUAAAUUUCCCUGCGAUUUUUUGGCCGUCGACGCUGAAAAACUGAUCGGAUUAUACAGAUCCGAGCAGUAGGGCUGCCCCUCGUGCCAUUCGCAGUACUGUGUCGGCUGAACUGCAGUCCACAUGCUGACACGAUACAACGUUAAGGUCAGGCGCGCUGUGCCUGAUUAUGCCAUAAUUAUGUCGUCUAAACGGUAUCUGGAUCAAGAGAGGAUCCGUUAUCUGGAUCCGAUUUACGUUAGAAUGAUGGUGAUGGCCCAGUCCUGGAAGUCAAGUUUAAGAUCGAGCACCUCAAGGCACCGGAUAAGCUGCAGUUAAACCAUUAAAGAGAAAUCAUUUACCAUGAACUCAAUUUCUAUUCUGACUUGAACUCCGAGUGGAAUCUAAGUGAUUAUUGUAGAUAUAAAACAUUCUUGUACAACACAACGUUUUUGAGUAGCCUAUUCCUGUGCACGGGCUGCGCUGCCCGCAUCGGACGGGCCCGCGACCCCCAGCAGUGGGAGGGCUACGGUACGUGGCGUCUUCACACACGACCGCCACUCCAGCACCGCCAGCUGCUCUACAAGCGAAGCGCCCUGUCCGCUGCCACUUCUACUUCGCCUUAUUUAUGCAAUUCAUUGUUCACUAAAUAAUUUUUCAUUAUAUUUUCACUUGCUUGUAAGAAGAUAAACUCGAUAAGGUUUUAAAAUUUUUAGAUUAAUUUAAUAAAUUAUUUGUCAUUAAAAAA